RNAcentral lists this ribosomal RNA (273 nucleotides) under uncultured bacterium. RNAcentral's name for it is "partial small subunit ribosomal RNA". It matches the Rfam family "Bacterial small subunit ribosomal RNA", at positions 26 to 286 of the family's 1533-position model. The record is from RNAcentral.
AGAAUCAACGCUGGCGGCGUGCCUAACACAUGCAAGUCGAACGCGAAAGUCCCGCAAGGGAUGAGUAGAGUGGCAAACGGGUGAGUAACACGUGGGUGACCUGCCUUCGAGCGGGGGAUAACGUCCCGAAAGGGACGCUAAUACCGCAUGACAUCCUGCCUUUGAAGAGGUGGAGAUCAAAGCUGGGGAUCGCAAGACCUAGCACUCGAAGAGGGGCCCGCGCCUGAUUAGCUAGUUGGUGGGGUAAUGGCUCACCAAGGCGACGAUCAGUAG